Molecule: ribosomal RNA, 428 nt
Filed under: uncultured bacterium
Lineage: Bacteria
Description: bacterial SSU rRNA
Rfam family: Bacterial small subunit ribosomal RNA
Source: RNAcentral
UGAGGAAUAUUGCGCAAUGGCCGAAAGGCUGACGCAGCAACGCCGCGUGAGGGAUGAAGCUUUUAGGAGCGUAAACCUCUGUUAGGAGGGACGAAUGAGUAAGUGUCGAAUAGGCACUUACUGUGACGGUACCUCCAGAGAAAGCCCCGGCUAACUCCGUGCCAGCAGCCGCGGUAAUACGGGGGGGGCAAGCGUUGUCCGGAAUCAUUGGGCGUAAAGGGCGCGUAGGUGGGAUGCUAAGUCUGUGGUGAAAGCUUGCGGCUUAACCGUAAGUCUGCCGUGGAUACUGGCAUUCUUGAGUUCGGAAGAGGGAAGUGGAAUUCCUGGUGUAGCGGUGAAAUGCGUAGAUAUCAGGAAGAACACCGGUGGCGAAGGCGGCUUCCUGGUCCGAUACUGACACUAAUGCGCGAAAGCGUGGGGAGCGAACA